This 273-nucleotide ribosomal RNA is filed under the name uncultured bacterium. Its description in RNAcentral is "partial 16S ribosomal RNA". It matches the Rfam family "Bacterial small subunit ribosomal RNA", at positions 333 to 598 of the family's 1533-position model. The record is from RNAcentral.
CGGGGCCUACGGGACGCAGCAGUAGGGAAUUUUCGUCAAUGGGCGCAAGCCUGAACGAGCAAUGCCGCGUGAACGAGGAAGGUCUUCGGAUUGUAAAGUUCUGUUGAAGGGGAAAAAGAGCGGAGAGAGGAAAUGAACUCCGAUUGAUAUUACCCUUCGAGGAAGUCACGGCUAACUACGUGCCGGCAGCCGCGGUAAUACGUAGGUGGCGAGCGUUAUCCGUAAUGAUUGGGCGUAAAGGGUGCGUAGGCGGCCUGCUAAGUCUGGAGUGAA